Molecule: ribosomal RNA, 251 nt
Filed under: uncultured prokaryote
Description: partial 16S rRNA
Rfam family: Bacterial small subunit ribosomal RNA
Source: RNAcentral
ACAGAGAUGGCGACCGUUGUUCGGAAUUACUGGGCUUAAAGGGCAUGUAGGCGGCUAGAAAAGUUGGUAGUGAAAAUCUAUGGCUUACCCAUGGAAGUGCUGCCAAAACUAUCAAGCUAGAGUGAGGUAGGGGGGAGUGGAACUCCUGGUGGAGCGGUGAAAUGCGUUGAUAUCAGGAGGAACGCCGGAGGCGAAAGCGACUCUCUGGACCUUAACUGACGCUGAGGUGCGAAAGCUAGGGGAGCAAACGG